RNAcentral lists this unclassified non-coding RNA (336 nucleotides) under soil metagenome. RNAcentral describes it as "partial contains 5.8S ribosomal RNA, internal transcribed spacer 2, and large subunit ribosomal RNA". The stretch from base 1 to 120 matches the Rfam family "5.8S ribosomal RNA", at positions 35 to 154 of the family's 154-position model. The record is from RNAcentral.
GAUGAAGAACGUAGCGAAAUGCGAUAAGUAGUGUGAAUUGCAGAAUUCAGUGAAUCAUCGAAUCUUUGAACGCACAUUGCGCCCCUUGGUAUUCCGGGGGGCAUGCCUGUUCGAGCGUCAUUUCAACCCUCAAGCUCUGCUUGGUAUUGGGCUCCGUCCUCCUCGGACGCGCCUCAAAGACCUCGGCGGUGGCGUCUUGCCUCAAGCGUAGUAGAAACACCUCGCUUUGGAGUGCAUGGCGUCGCCCGCCGGACGAAACCUUUUGUAUUUUCUCAAAGGUUGACCUCGGAUCAGGUAGGGAUACCCGCUGAACUUAAGCAUAUCAUAAGCGGAGGA